RNAcentral lists this ribosomal RNA (484 nucleotides) under uncultured bacterium. RNAcentral's name for it is "partial 16S ribosomal RNA". It matches the Rfam family "Bacterial small subunit ribosomal RNA", at positions 30 to 507 of the family's 1533-position model. The record is from RNAcentral.
AUUGAACGCUGGCGGCAGGCCUAACACAUGCAAGUCGAGCGGAUGAAGGGUGCUUGCUCCUGGAUUCGGCGGCGGACGGGCGGGUGAUGCCUAAGAAUCUGCCUGGUUGUGUUGUAUAACGUCCGGACACAGGCGCUAAUACCGCAUACGUCCUUAGGGAGAACGUGGGGGAUCUUCGGACCUCACGCUAUCAGAUGAGCCUAGGUCGGAUUAGCUAGUUGGUGGGGUAAAGGCCUACCAAGGCGACGAUCCGUAACUGGUCUGAGAGGAUGAUCAGUCACACUGGAACUGAGACACGGUCCAGACUCCUACGGGAGGCAGCAGUGGGGAAUAUUGGACAAUGGGCGAAAGCCUGAUCCAGCCAUGCCGCGUGUGUGAAGAAGGUCUUCGGAUUGUAAAGCACUUUAAGUGGGGAGGAAGGGCAGUAAGUUAAUACCUUGCUGUUUUGACGUUACCAACAGAAUAAGCACCGGCUAACUUCGUG